GAUGAGAACGCAGCGAAAUGCGAUAAGUAAUGUGAAUUGCAGAAUUCCGUGAAUCAUCGAAUCUUUGAACGCACAUUGCGCCCCCUGGUAUUCCGGGGGGCAUGCCUGUCCGAGCGUCAUUGCAACCUUCAAGCGCGGCUUGUGUGUUGGGUCUCGUCCCCCGUGGACGGGCCCGAAAGGCAGUGGCGGCGUCCCGACAUGGUGCCCGAGCGUAUGGGAAUCCUCUUCCGCUCGAAUCGGCCCAUGCGGCGCUGGUCGUAACCAAAUUUUUUACCGGUUGACCUCGGAUCAGGUAGGGAUACCCGCUGAACUUAAGCAUAUCAAUAAGCGGAGGA
This 335-nucleotide unclassified non-coding RNA is filed under the name soil metagenome. RNAcentral's name for it is "partial contains 5.8S ribosomal RNA, internal transcribed spacer 2, and large subunit ribosomal RNA". The stretch from base 5 to 119 matches the Rfam family "5.8S ribosomal RNA", at positions 40 to 154 of the family's 154-position model. The record is from RNAcentral.